Molecule: long non-coding RNA, 3652 nt
Organism: Nomascus leucogenys (northern white-cheeked gibbon)
Lineage: Eukaryota; Metazoa; Chordata; Mammalia; Primates; Hylobatidae
Exons: 6
Source: RefSeq, a predicted model, not a curated record
GGCCAUGUGAAAAUUUCAUUUUGAAACCAGAAACCAAGCAAGCCCUGACUAUGGAGGGGUGGGGGGUGGGGCGGGCGUUGAGCAUAGCAUGAUGAUGAACCAAGGUUGACUUAGUCUUUUCCAGGACCCCCCAGAAACUCCCCCUUUCUCGACCCCUAAAAUUCAGCUGCAUUCUAGGUCUGGAGAAGUUAGGCUAUCUGGAGAUUUAGUUCUGCCAAAGUGUGCGGCCCUUGUAAAUGCCUGUGGUGAAACUGCAAAACCUCUGCCCAGCCCUCAGGAGCUCUUGAAGCAAAAUAGAACUUGACAUUUUUAGAUGGUGUUUGAGUUUUUGCCCUCUGGAUUCAGAAGAAGCAAGACCACAGUACACGAAAUGAAGGCUACUACCCCAGUAGCGGGGCAUUGCGAUCCACCUAAGAGCAGGAAACUGAAGUGAUGAGGGGACCGUUCCUCUGGAAACCCACAUCUUUGCGUGCACUGAGGGAUCCACAGCAGAACACGUGGACGUUUCUCCUCUGGUCUUGCCUAUUUGCAGUUUCAUAGCCAAAGAAAGCCAACAGGAAAAGGAAACUCAUCCAUCAUUUUGUCAGUUUAUGACUUAUUUUUGAGUAUCCACUAAUGCUAGGUGUCCAGGUAGAUAUCAACAGGAGGUAAAGGAGUAUAGUGCUUGACCCAUAAUAAAUAUUCAAUAUAUGUUAAUUGCUGAUGAGGUGAUUGCAGAUGUACUUGUUUUUUUCAAUUUUUGAGGACCUACCAGAUGUCAGAUACUAUGCAUAAAGUCCCCUGUUAAUUCUUACAUCACAACAAAGCAGGCAAUAUUACUCCUAUUUCGCCAGUAGGAAAACUGAGGCUGAGAGGUUACAAAACUUAAUUUAAAAAGUCAUAUAUCUCAUACAUGGUGGAGUUAGGCUUAAGAUUUAACUGUGUUUGAUUUCAAAUUCUGUCUUCGUUCCACCAUGCUGCUGUUGUUUCUUCUCUAGCAGUUCUCAGAGCCUCAAGAGAAGGCUUUUCCCUCUGGGAGUGUACUGCAUUUGCUCCUUCUGGCCUGGAGACCUGCCCCUUUAAUAGGCUACUUUGAAGAAACAGGCCACCAUCCUGGGAGUAAAACAGAGUUCUUCACGAAUUACAUCAUUUAUUUUUCAACAAAUAUUAAUUUAAUUUGGUUUAGUUUAACAAAAGCACAUGAUCACAGAUUUGAUAACCAAAUGGAUUCCUUGACGUAAACUUCAGUCCUGGUUUAGCUCUCUUCCAGGAAGAAAAACAAAGUCUCUCAAAGCUCCAAAUAACCCUGUGAUUUUGGAUGAUUGAUUAUGGGAAUGCUGCUUUCACUGUACAUCCAAGCUCUCCUGGCCUCAGUGGAUAAAUAUAUGAGAGCACAGUUUUCCUGGUGUCAGGAUAUGAAGAUCCAGAGAACAAAGAACCUCAAAGAACAACACCUGGAUCGUCAAGGUUUGGCCAGCAGUGCACUUUCUCCAACCUUACAGUCAUACGCAAGUUGUGGCUCUCCUGUCCAGCCUGCCACCACUGGACCAUCCCUGUAUACAUUCCUUCUCCCUUUGAAGAAAUCCACAAAAGAAAAAGCAAAAUACUGACAAGUUUUCAAAGCCAUGAUUUACAGGAAUGAAUUCUGAAAAGCAAGUGGCUAACAUCUGAGUUCAUCAUCAAAUAAUAUUUCUAAAGCACCCUCUAGUGUCUGGCCCCAAGCCAGAUGAUUCAACGCCUGGAGAAGCUACAGACUUUUUAAAAGUAAAAUAGACUCAUUUCUGCUCAUGAGAAGCAAGUCGGCAUCAUUUAGGAUGCCUUAGGAAUGUCUCUCUAAAUAAGGAUUAAAAAUGGAUUGCUGUAGAAAAAGUAAUACAAGUACAAACACUGAUAAUAUUGAAUGCAAUUUAAAUUCCAUUUUAAAAUAGACAAUAGGUUUUAAAAUAACACGUUGAAAAAUACACUGGAAUUAGCAAAAUUUAAAAUCUUAGGAAGAAAAAUCCUGAUUUGUAUGUGAAAUGGUUUUGAACUGAGGAAAAUUAAGACUAGCAAGAGUAGAUAGGGGUUGUCCAGUAGGAAUGUUAGACCCAUCAGCCAUCUGAUUAUGCUGUGCCUGAUACUAGCCUGUAGUUUUCACCCAGUAAAUUAUCAAGUGGUGCAGUAGAAAGAGCAUGGUAUGUAGAAUCGUAAGACUCAAAGUCUGGAGUCAGCUCUACUACUCACUUGGCCAUGUGGUUUGGAAUACAUCACAAAAGAUUUAUGAACCUUCGCUUCUUCACAUGUAAAAUCGUGAUGAUUUUGCCAACUUAAUGGAAUUGUUUAGACUUUAGAGGAUUACAUAGGAUACAAAGGACUAGUUCCUUGAACAAAGUACUUGCCCCCAAAAUGUUACUAUUUUUCUAGUUGUGUGAUUGAUUUUGCAAUCAGCAAUUUAAUAAUAAUGCAUUCAAUAGGUUUAUAAUAUGCAUUCAAUGUGACUCUUGCAUGUAUCUCAUAAAAACAAAUUUGAAUAUUUUUCUCAUUUUAUCAUUCACAUAUCUUUGAGAAUGGGAUCAUAGUUUUAUUUUGAUAAUGAAGUAAUAGAGUCAAUUCCUGAAUAGGCUAGUUGACUUUAAUGAGAAAUAACCAUUUAUUCAUUCAUUCAUUUCAUUUUCAACUCUUAAAUCCAUAAUGCCCCUUCACUAACUGGGGUUCUUAUAUUAAUAAGACGGACCAGAUACUUUCAUCACCUCCAAAAAAUCUUUUUAGGCAGAGCAAUAAAGAGUACUGAAUCAUUUUAAGAAGUCACAUAGAAAAAUGACUUUUGAACAUGGAAGGACUGGGCUUGAUCAAGCAAAUUCUAUUUCAAAGUUUUACUUGCAAGGUUAUUUAUUACUGUGUGGAAUCUCACUCCUGUGGCUGGGGUCAAGAAAAAUGGGGACACAGGUGUCUGCCUAUUUGCACAGGCAUUAAAAAGUAUUGUAAAAUGAGCUUCAGCCUUUUAAGUUACUGUCUUCUUCUUUAUAAUAAUAAUCUUUUCCAUUUUACAAGGUCUAUAUUAUUUUUAGGUAAGAAAACACUGUAGAGUUCAUGUUUUAUUGUUCCUUGCAGUUAUAUAAAUUAUAUUUGGCCAAAACAAAUGUAAUUCCUACUGUGUGAACUGGGAACCCAAAAUGUUGAUUUUCCUCAAGUUAUAAACAAUGUGAAGAUAUGUUAUACUGGGUCACAAUUUUCCAGAGCAGAGCAAAAUAUAUAACUCAGUUUUAAUAACAAAACUGCAUAUAUCAUUAAAGUUUCCUACUUCACACAGAAUGUAUUAUAUUACUCUGCCCAGCAAGAGACAUCCUUUGUGUAGACCACAAUUUCUAAAAUACCAUUUGAUUGAAUAGAAAACAGGUUAGCCAUUUGUUAGUUUAAAAGAAAAUAUAAUGGUUAAAUGAUCAUGGACAUUCUGCUUUGUCUUUGCUAGUGAAUAUUAAAUUUCUUCUCACUAAAUUUAAAUGUCACAGAUUUUGUAAACAACAAGGUCUGGGGGAAAACCAUUAUGACCCUUUUCUGACUAUUAGAUGAAUCUUCAUAUUUUUAGCAACUUAGAAGCAGAUGUCCUCUCCUUUGCAGUACCAAUAAACCUUAUUUAUACAUGCACUAUAUCAACUUCAAGCCUUAUUGUAAUUAUUUACAUACAAGUCUGCCU